This 105-nucleotide small RNA is filed under the name Flavobacterium degerlachei. RNAcentral's name for it is "Flavo-1 RNA". It matches the Rfam family "Flavo-1 RNA". The record is from RNAcentral. Lineage: Bacteria; Pseudomonadati; Bacteroidota; Flavobacteriia; Flavobacteriales; Flavobacteriaceae.
CCCUAGCCCGGAUAGCAGCGAAAAUCCUUUCUAGCCCUGAACUUGUUUCAGGAUCCUGAAACAAGUUCAGGACUAGAAAGAUUGUAGCGAAUAGCCGGAAAUAGC